RNAcentral lists this long non-coding RNA (305 nucleotides) under Elaeis guineensis (African oil palm). Its description in RNAcentral is "long non-coding RNA (EGUI_LNC002055)". The record is from RNAcentral. Lineage: Eukaryota; Viridiplantae; Streptophyta; Magnoliopsida; Arecales; Arecaceae.
GAGUGGCGUUGUGUGCCUGCGGUGAUCUUGUGCCUAUGGCAUUUAGCAUUUUUCAUCUUCGCAUAAGAGGCAGUAUGUACCAAUGGUGAGCUUGUGCCUACGGUAUCUUGCACUCUCGACGGUAUUUUGAGGAUUUGAUUAGUUAUCCCUCAUGCGUAAUGUUGUGUAUCUGCGACGAUCUUGUGCUUACAGCAUCUAGCACUUCUCAUCUUCGUAUGAGAGGCUGCGUGUGUCAGCGAUGAGCUUGUGCUUAGGCAUCUUGCACUCUCGAUGGCAUUUUGAGAGUUUGAUUAGUUAUCUGUCAC